UCCGUAGGCGGCGUGGCAAGUCGGUAGUGAAAUCUCUCGGCUUAACUGAGAGGCUGCUGCCGAAACUGCCAUGCUCGAGUGCGAGAGAGGCGAGUGGAAUUGCGGGUGUAGCGGUGAAAUGCGUAGAUAUCCGCAGGAACAUCCGAGGCGAAAGCGGCUCGCUGGAUCGCAACUGACGCUGAGGGACGAAAGCUAGGGGAGCAAACAGGAUUAGAUACCCUGGUAGUCCUAGCCCUAAACCAUCAGGACUUGGGGUUUGCCCUGUACGGGGCAAAGUCCCGGAGCUAACGCGUUAAGUCCUGCGCCUGGGGAGUACGGUCGCAAGGCUGAAA
Molecule: ribosomal RNA, 332 nt
Filed under: uncultured bacterium
Lineage: Bacteria
Description: bacterial SSU rRNA
Rfam family: Bacterial small subunit ribosomal RNA
Source: RNAcentral